AGUGAACGCUGGCGGUAGGCCUAACACAUGCAAGUCGAACGGCAGCACAGUAAGAGCUUGCUCUUACGGGUGGCGAGUGGCGGACGGGUGAGGAAUACAUCGGAAUCUACUUUUUCGUGGGGGAUAACGUAGGGAAACUUACGCUAAUACCGCAUACGACCUACGGGUGAAAGCAGGGGAUCUUCGGACCUUGCGCGAUUGAAUGAACCGAUGUCGGAUUAGUUAGUUGGCGGGGUAAAGGCCCACCAAGGCGACGAUCCGUAGCUGGUCUGAGAGGAUGAUCAGCCACACUGGAACUGAGACACGGUCCAGACUCCUACGGGAGGCAGCAGUGGGGAAUAUUGGACAAUGGGCGCAAGCCUGAUCCAGCCAUACCGCGUGGGUGAAGAAGGCCUUCGGGUUGUAAAGCCCUUUUGUUGGGAAAGAAAAGCAGCAGGUUAAUACCCCGCUGUUCUGACGGUACCCAAAGAAUAAGCACCGGCUAACUUCGUG
This 492-nucleotide ribosomal RNA is filed under the name uncultured bacterium. Its description in RNAcentral is "partial 16S ribosomal RNA". It matches the Rfam family "Bacterial small subunit ribosomal RNA", at positions 29 to 507 of the family's 1533-position model. The record is from RNAcentral.